This 2697-nucleotide long non-coding RNA is filed under the name Homo sapiens (human). RNAcentral's name for it is "HSALNT0002144". The record is from RNAcentral. Lineage: Eukaryota; Metazoa; Chordata; Mammalia; Primates; Hominidae.
AAGGGGCCCCACAUUUUUAUUUUGUCCUAGAUCGUACAAAUUAUGUAGUCAGUCCUGCUGAGGAGGCUCAGAAAUCCUCUCCCACCCCUUCUACAGCUGGCUCCUUGUCACUGAAGCUUCUGUCUUCUCCGGUGAUGGUGACAAGGUGGCAACUUUUAUGCGGGGACCUAAGUGGAGAGCCCCAGAGCAGAUCUCUUACUCAGCCGAUGAGUAUUUCGACACACCUGUUCACUCCCAUUUAUUUAAACAGAUACUGGAACCCAGAGGCUAUUUUCACUGAGGUUAUCAAAGGAGCUGGGUAGAGAAGUUGAUAAAUUGCUGAGUAAUUACAUUGUCUUUGUUGGUUAUAGGUCAAAGUCCUGCUGAUAAUGCAUUUUGAAAGCCCAGUGAGGAAGUUUAAGUGCUGUUAUCCCCAACAUCAUCCUCACGAGUUCCAGCAGUGACUGGCACCUUCCUGAGCCUGGCCAGGAAGCGAAUAAACCCCCCCGGUAGUCCUUGAUGACUUGGCCGAGGUGGUGUAGUAAGUCGGCAUUUGGACUCCAGCAGUUAUGUGUCAGAAGAUGAGGCUUCUUGGCCAGGCAUGGUGGCUCAUGCUGGUGAUCCCAGCACUUUGGGAGGCUGAGGCAGGCGGUCAAGAGAUGGAGACCAUCCUGGCCAACAAGGACUGCAGGAUCCUCCUGUCUGUCGAGCCCACGGACCAAGGCUGCUACCCCCUGAACAACCAUCUCUUCUGCAAGCCAUGCCAUGUGAAGCGGAGUGCUGCGGGGUGCUGCUGAGAGUGCCCGCUGGGCAGUGAACAGACCACUAGCCCCGGCUGGGGCCCUUCCCUGACUUGGUUUCCCUUCCUAACCUGCUCUUGCACACUUUCCUUCUGAGCCUCCAUGGAGACCAGCCUGCAAGCCGGCCCAGCCUGUCCAGGAUACAGUGGGGCUGAGCACCCCCAGGCCUUCCACUCCUCUACCCUCUGGGCACCAGAAGGCUCCUGGACCAUGAGCUUCACCCCCAGAAUUCCCUGCUGACCCUGCCCCACUUCCAGGGAAAAGCUGGGGGAGGUUGGACCCCUCUCACUGACUAGCUGUCUGGUAGGGGUGCUAGGACCAGCCUCGCCUGUGGGGUUGAGCUGUUUGAGGACAAACUCCAAGGUCCCUUAAAAAGUGCCUUUUAGAGGCUGGGCAUGGUGGCUCACGCUUGUAAUCCCAGCACUUUGGGAGGCCAAGGUGGGUGGAUCACCUGAGGUCAGGAGUUCAAGACCAGCCUGGCCAACAUGGUGAAACCCUGUCUCUACUAAAAAUACAAAAAUUAGCCAGGCAUGGUAGCAGGUGCCUGUAAUCCCAGCUACUGGGGAAAGCUGAGGCAGGAGAAUUGCUUCAAUCUGGAAGGCAGAGGUUGCAGUGAGAUUGCACCAUUGCAUUCCAGCCUGGGCAACAAGAGGGAAACUCCGUCUCAAAAAAAAAAAAGUGCCUUUUAGGCCGGAUGUGGUGGCUCAUGCCUGUAAUCCCAGCACUUUGGGAGGCCAAGGCAGGCAGAUCACUUGAGGUCAGGAGUUUGAGACCAGCCUGGCCAACACGGCAAAACCCCGUUUCUACUAAAAAUACAAAAAUUAGCUGGGUGUGGUGGCGUGCGCCUGUAAUCCCAGCUACUCAGGAGGCUGAGGCAGGAGCAUUGCUUGAACCCGGGAGGCAGAGGUUGCAGUGAGCUGAGAUGGCACCACUGCACUCCAGCCUGGGAGACACAGCGAGACUCUGUCUCCAAAAAAAAAAGUGCUUUUUGAAAAUGUUGAGGUUGAAAUGAUGGGAACCAACAUUCUUUGGAUUUAGUGGGGAGCAUAAUAGCAAACACCCCCUUGGUUCGCACAUGUACAGGAAUGGGACCCAGUUGGGGCACAGCCAUGGACUUCCCCGCCCUGGAAUGUGUGGUGCAAAGUGGGGCCAGGGCCCAGACCCAAGAGGAGAGGGUGGUCCGCAGACACCCCGGGAUGUCAGCAUCCCCCGACCUGCCUUCUGGCGGCACCUCCCGGGUGCUGUGUUGAGUCAGCAGGCAUGGGGUGAGAGCCUGGUAUAUGCUGGGAACAGGGUGCAGGGGCCAAGCGUUCCUCCUUCAGCCUUGACUUGGGCCAUGCACCCCCUCUCCCCCAAACACAAACAAGCACUUCUCCAGUAUGGUGCCAGGACAGGUGUCCCUUCAGUCCUCUGGUUAUGACCUCAAGUCCUACUUGGGCCCUGCAGCCCAGCCUGUGUUGUAACCUCUGCGUCCUCAAGACCACACCUGGAAGAUUCUUCUUCCCUUUGAAGGAGAAUCAUCAUUGUUGCUUUAUCACUUCUAAGACAUUUUGUACGGCACGGACAAGUUAAACAGAAUGUGCUUCCCUCCCUGGGGUCUCACACGCUCCCACGAGAAUGCCACAGGGGCCGUGCACUGGGCAGGCUUCUCUGUAGAACCCCAGGGGCUUCGGCCCAGACCACAGCGUCUUGCCCUGAGCCUAGAGCAGGGAGUCCCGAACUUCUGCAUUCACAGACCACCUCCACAAUUGUUAUAACCAAAGGCCUCCUGUUCUGUUAUUUCACUUAAAUCAACAUGCUAUUUUGUUUUCACUCACUUCUGACUUUAGCCUCGUGCUGAGCCGUGUAUCCAUGCAGUCAUGUUCACGUGCUAGUUACGUUUUUCUUCUUACACAUGAAAAUAAAUGCAUAAGUGUUA